Molecule: ribosomal RNA, 469 nt
Filed under: uncultured bacterium
Lineage: Bacteria
Description: bacterial SSU rRNA
Rfam family: Bacterial small subunit ribosomal RNA
Source: RNAcentral
GACGAACGCUGGCGGCGUGCUUAACACAUGCAAGUCGAGCGGAAAGGCCCUUCGGGGUACUCGAGCGGCGAACGGGUGAGUAACACGUGAGUAACCUGCCCUGGACUUUGGGAUAACCCUCGGAAACGGGGGCUAAUACCGGAUACGACUUUUCCUCGCAUGAGGUUUGGUGGAAAGUUUUUCGGUCUGGGAUGGGCUCGCGGCCUAUCAGCUUGUUGGUGGGGUGAUGGCCUACCAAGGCGACGACGGGUAGCCGGCCUGAGAGGGCGACCGGCCACACUGGGACUGAGACACGGCCCAGACUCCUACGGGAGGCAGCAGUGGGGAAUUUUGCGCAAUGGGGGAAACCCUGACGCAGCAACGCCGCGUGGAGGAUGAAGUUCCUUGGAACGUAAACUUCCUUUCGACCGGGACGAUGAUGACGGUACCGGUAGAAGAAGCCCCGGCUAACUUCGUGCCAGCAGCCGCU